This 80-nucleotide transfer RNA is filed under the name Clostridia bacterium. Its description in RNAcentral is "tRNA-Leu". The record is from RNAcentral. Lineage: Bacteria; Bacillati; Bacillota; Clostridia. RNAcentral also lists the same sequence under 1 other name.
GCGAGUAUGGUGGAAUUGGCAGACACGUGCGUUUAAGGGGCGCAUGGGAGACCGUAUCGGUUCAAGUCCGAUUACUCGCA